This 76-nucleotide transfer RNA is filed under the name bacterium. RNAcentral describes it as "tRNA-Lys". It matches the Rfam family "tRNA". Rfam says of the family: Transfer RNA (tRNA) molecules are approximately 80 nucleotides in length. The record is from RNAcentral.
GCGCCUAUAGCUCAGUUGGUAGAGCAGCUCCCUCUUAAGGAGACGGUCCCUGGUUCGAAUCCAGGUAGGCGCACCA